This is a long non-coding RNA of Schistocerca gregaria, 1922 nucleotides long. RefSeq lists it as uncharacterized. The record is from RefSeq and is a predicted model, not a curated record. Lineage: Eukaryota; Metazoa; Arthropoda; Insecta; Orthoptera; Acrididae. The transcript has 6 exons.
UUCUGUGGUGUGUAAGCUGGUGCCAGUUUAGAGAGCAAGGAAGCCAAUAGGAAGUCUGGCAACAGCGGAUGACGGAGUAGAUGGGGAAUAUCUUUUCCGUCCUCUCCACGGCCCACGCCAUGUUCUUCAACUGACGGUAGCGGGACUGAGCAGAUGUGCUGGUUAUCUUCAGGUAAAUAAUGGUGCACACCCAUCAUUUGCUCCCACAUGGAAUGUGGAGAGGAUGGACAUAAGUUACUCAAUGAUAAUGGAGUCUGAUCUCGUUACAAAAAUUGGUGAGCGUUCCAAGGGAUGUACUGUGCCAUGAAACAUGAGUGGUUUUCUGUCCGAACGAAGCAGCUGGAAGUUAGCACAUGGGGAAAUAUUGUUGAGGAUAGAAAGUUAUAAGGUGUAAGCCACUCGAGGAGAUCUGAACAGUUAAUAAAUGCUGUGGAGUUCUUUAAAAGGUCAGUGCCUGUGGCUUUAGGAGGUGAGAUUAAGAUAACAGCUUCGGAUCAAAAUGGAGUGGUGUGAAUAGUUGUGGCUUUAUUGAAUUAACUGACAACCUAGUUAGGGAAAAGGGAGGCUUCUUAAUGCACAGGACUACCGGGGGUUGGGCCUACAAGGUGAGAAAUGGAAUGAGGCUGACAGUACUGUGAAAAAUCCCUUCUACAGGGUGUCCAGAAAAGGACUCCCUGAUUUCAAAAUUAAACAUCUCGAAAACAAAGAUCGAUAGAGGAAUGCAGUAAACAGUAUGUUUAUUGUGAAAGCUGUAAGUUUAUACAGCAGUUUGAAAUAAUAGUUGCAAAAGCUGCUAACCGAUGGCACUGUAAUCGCCAUACGUAAUGCCUAGUAUAAAUAGUGAUCUGAAGCCCAGUGAUCAGUUCCACUAUUGAAACGUGAAAGGAGGUUGGGAAGAGAUUAAAACCAUGUACUCCAUUGAACAAUGCGUUUUUCUGGUGCUAGAGUACCACAAGUUUUUGGGCACGAUUUAAUGUUCCAAAAGGACCCGACGCAAAAACCAUUUGUACGCUCUUCAGAAAAUUUCAACGAACAGGCAGCGUAACUGAUCUAGUGGGGCGGCAUGUUGGCCGCAAGCAAACUGCAGUUACGCCUCAAAAAUAUCGCCACUGUUUCUGGAAUUAUUCAUCGAAAUCCAAUGUCAUCCGUCUGUAGAAUUGCAUCUGAGACUGGUUUGAAGCGUUCCAGCCCAUAGAAAAUUCUGAGAGAGCCUACAUGUUUCUGUUCAAAACUCAAACGCACCAGCCCAUACCCGUUGCUAAUCAGAUGCUCACAAUGAUUGAUAGUGAAGGGUUUGAUGUUGGCUGCAUCUGGUUUACAGGUGAAGCACACUUCCACCUGAACGGAUAUGUGAAUAAGCAGAACUGGCGAUUUUGGGAUUCUGUGAUUAUUUCACUUAUGUAUGCUGAUAUGAGCUGUACAGCGUACAGUGCCAUCUGUUAGCAGCUUUUGUAAUUAUUAUUUCAAACUGCUGUAUAACCUUUUUACAGCUUUCACAACAAACAUACCGUUUACUGCACAUUCCUCUAUUGAUCUUUGUUUUCGAGAUGUUUAAUUUUGAAAUCAGGUAGCCCUUUUCUGGACACCCUGUAUAUGAUCAGCUCCAUAUGGCCAUCCUGUGAUUUUUGAAACUGCCAUCAGAACUUUUUAUAAGUGGAACAUUUGAAUCUAGAGCAACAUUAUUCCUUAAAGUUGUGUUCAACUUGGAAUCUAUUUCUUAUAAAGCACAUCAUUUUGGAACAUUCAAAAGAAGUGACCAAUGUGUAUUACUGGUACCAAGGCUGGGAACUAUGACUGCUGGUGAACAGCUGCCAAUGGGAACUAAUUUGAAGGGGAUAAUAUAGUUGUAUAAAAAUUCAUGUUUUAUUAAAUAUGUUGUCAGUACCUGUAAGAUUUCAAAAUAAAGUGUGAUGACUCCAGUA